GGUGUGCUACCGUUGAGUUUCGAAAAGCCGCCAAAAUGUCGGAGCUCUCGUGUCAUCGAUGGCUUCAUUCGCAUAACAAACGCGCGAAGUGCAGCUCACGACUUCUCUCCACUCUCCUCAACGUAAAGCAUGAGAUUCGCAUGUCUACGCGACAAAGGAGCCAGCUGUAAUUUGCACCGCUACGAGCAUUUACGAAAGACGCAAGCUCCUCACGAAAAUUCCGUCUGUGUUCAGCGUGAUAAAUUGUUUGGGUUAGUCGACCAGCAGAGCGCUUUUCCUUUUCCGUUGUUUGCCAAAGGCUAAUGAAACUAAUGAAGUCUCGAAUAUCGCUGAAGACAAUAGUUUGCCUGUUUCGUUGGCGUUGCUGUAGGAUCGUUGUUCAUUACGUAUGCACCAAUGUUGCGUAUUCUCAUCGGCCAGAAGUACCGCCAAGAAAGACUUGGUGUCGCUGCGAGAGCUCAAGUGAGAGCUGUACACAGCACAUUGGACUUCAGGCAGUAAAAGCGAAACUAUUACGGUGGCGUUUGUCGUCUGCGGGAUGCAGGCUGACCUUGCAGUGGUCGCUAUCAAGUCCGUGAUCGCUUACUCAACGUCGCCGCUACAUCUCAUUAUCCUUGCUGACAAGGAGAGCGAGGUGGAUAUGAAGAA
Molecule: long non-coding RNA, 648 nt
Organism: Rhipicephalus microplus (southern cattle tick)
Lineage: Eukaryota; Metazoa; Arthropoda; Arachnida; Ixodida; Ixodidae
Source: RefSeq, a predicted model, not a curated record